RNAcentral lists this ribosomal RNA (519 nucleotides) under uncultured bacterium. RNAcentral's name for it is "bacterial SSU rRNA". It matches the Rfam family "Bacterial small subunit ribosomal RNA", at positions 355 to 891 of the family's 1533-position model. The record is from RNAcentral.
UGGGGAAUCUUGGACAAUGGGGGCAACCCUGAUCCAGCCAUGCCGCGUGCGGGAAGAAGGCCCUAGGGUUGUAAACCGCUUUCAGCAGGGAAGAAAAUGACGGUACCUGCAGAAGAAGGUGCGGCCAACUACGUGCCAGCAGCCGCGGUGACACGUAGGCACCAAGCGUUGUCCGGAUUUAUUGGGCGUAAAGAGCUCGUAGGCGGUUCAGUAAGUCGGGUGUGAAAACUCUGGGCUCAACCCAGAGAGGCCACCCGAUACUGCUGUGACUUGAGUACGGUAGGGGAGCGGGGAAUUCCUGGUGUAGCGGUGAAAUGCGCAGAUAUCAGGAGGAACACCAGUGGCGAAGGCGCCGCUCUGGGCCGUAACUGACGCUGAGGAGCGAAAGCAUGGGUAGCAAACAGGAUUAGAUACCCUGGUAGUCCACACCGUAAACGAUGAAUGCCAGUCGUCGGGUAGCAUGCUAUUCGGUGACACACCUAACGGAUUAAGCAUUCCGCCUGGGGAGUACGGUCGCAG